RNAcentral lists this ribosomal RNA (442 nucleotides) under uncultured bacterium. RNAcentral describes it as "partial 16S ribosomal RNA". It matches the Rfam family "Bacterial small subunit ribosomal RNA", at positions 338 to 795 of the family's 1533-position model. The record is from RNAcentral.
CCUACGGGGGACUGCAGUGGGGGAUAUUGCACAAUGGGGGAAACCCUGAUGCAGCGACGCCGCGUGGGCGAAGAAGUAUUUCGGUAUGUAAAGCCCUAUCAGCAGGGAAGAAGAAAUGACGGAACUUGAGAAAGAACCACCGGUUAAUAACGUCCCAGCAGCGGCGGUAAUAGGUAGGGGGCAAGCGUUAUCCGGAUUUACUGGGUGGAAAGGGAGCGCAGGCGGCAGGGCAAGCCAGUUGUGAAAGCCCGCGGCCAAACCGCGGGACUGCAUUGGGAACUGCCGGGCUGGAGUGCCGGAGAGGUAGGCGGAAUUCCGAGUGUAGCGGUGAAAUGCGUAGAUAUUAGGAGGAACACCAGUGGCGAAGGCGGCCUACUGGACGGUGACUGACGCUGAGGCUCGAAAGCGUGGGGAGCAAACAGGAUUAGAUACCCGUGUAGUC